RNAcentral lists this ribosomal RNA (400 nucleotides) under bacterium Ellin5031. RNAcentral describes it as "bacterial SSU rRNA". It matches the Rfam family "Bacterial small subunit ribosomal RNA", at positions 47 to 490 of the family's 1533-position model. The record is from RNAcentral. Lineage: Bacteria; Pseudomonadati; Pseudomonadota; Alphaproteobacteria; Hyphomicrobiales; Nitrobacteraceae.
CUUAACACAUGCAAGUCGAGCGGGCGUAGCAAUACGUCAAGCGGCAGACGGGUGAGUAACGCGUGGGAACGUACCUUUUGGUUCGGAACAACACAGGGAAACUUGUGCUAAUACCGGAUAAGCCCUUACGGGGAAAGAUUUAUCGCCGAAAGAUCGGCCCGCGUCUGAUUAGCUAGUUGGUGAGGUAACGGCUCACCAAGGCGACGAUCAGUAGCUGGUCUGAGAGGAUGAUCAGCCACAUUGGGACUGAGACACGGCCCAAACUCCUACGGGAGGCAGCAGUGGGGAAUAUUGGACAAUGGGCGCAAGCCUGAUCCAGCCAUGCCGCGUGAGUGAUGAAGGCCCUAGGGUUGUAAAGCUCUUUUGUGCGGGAAGAUAAUGACGGUACCGCAAGAAUAAG